Molecule: unclassified non-coding RNA, 327 nt
Filed under: soil metagenome
Description: partial contains 5.8S ribosomal RNA, internal transcribed spacer 2, and large subunit ribosomal RNA
Rfam family: 5.8S ribosomal RNA (bases 1-120)
Source: RNAcentral
GAUGAAGAACGCAGCGAAAUGCGAUAAGUAAUGUGAAUUGCAGAAUUCAGUGAAUCAUCGAAUCUUUGAACGCACAUUGCGCCCCUUGGUAUUCCGAGGGGCAUGCCUGUUCGAGCGUCAUUUUGACCACUCCCGCUUGCGGGGUCUUGGGCCUUCGCCUCUGGGCGGGCCUUAAAAUCAGUGGCGGUGCCGUCCGGCUCUAAGCGUAGUAAAUCUCCUCGCUAUAGGGUUCCGGAGGGAUGCUGGACAACAACCCCCAACUUUUAAGGUUGACCUCGGAUCAGGUAGGGAUACCCGCUGAACUUAAGCAUAUCAAUAAGCGGAGGA